RNAcentral lists this ribosomal RNA (467 nucleotides) under uncultured bacterium. RNAcentral's name for it is "partial 16S ribosomal RNA". It matches the Rfam family "Bacterial small subunit ribosomal RNA", at positions 28 to 506 of the family's 1533-position model. The record is from RNAcentral.
GACGAACGCUGGCGGCGUGCUUAACACAUGCAAGUCGAACGGAAAGGCCCUGCUUUUGUGGGGUGCUCGAGUGGCGAACGGGUGAGUAACACGUGAGUAACCUGCCCUUGACUUUGGGAUAACUUCAGGAAACUGGGGCUAAUACCGGAUAGGAGCUCCUGCUGCAUGGUGGGAGUUGGAAAGUUUCGGCGGUUGGGGAUGGACUCGCGGCUUAUCAGCUUGUUGGUGGGGUAGUGGCUUACCAAGGCUUUGACGGGUAGCCGGCCUGAGAGGGUGACCGGCCACAUUGGGACUGAGAUACGGCCCAGACUCCUACGGGAGGCAGCAGUGGGGAAUAUUGCACAAUGGGCGGAAGCCUGAUGCAGCAACGCCGCGUGCGGGAUGACGGCCUUCGGGUGGUAAACCGCUUUCGCCUGUGACGAAGCGUGAGGGACGGUAAUGGGUAAAGAAGCACCGGCUAACUACGU